Caerostris extrusa is the source of this 105-nucleotide non-coding RNA. The record is from the annotation of a GenBank genome assembly. Lineage: Eukaryota; Metazoa; Arthropoda; Arachnida; Araneae; Araneidae.
GCUAUAUUAUGAUGAAUAUACCGGUUCUUGUUCUAUCAUCGAAGUCAAGCAUCAUCGGGCGUGGUUAAUACUUGGGAGGGUGACCACCUGGGAAACACCAUGUGC